GACGAACGCUGGCGGCGUGCUUAACACAUGCAAGUCGAACGGAAAGGCCCUGCUUUUGUGGGGUGCUCGAGUGGCGAACGGGUGAGUAACACAUGAGUAACCUGCCCUUGACUUUGGGAUAACUUCAGGAAACUGGGGCUAAUACAGGAUAGGAGCUCCUGCUGCAUGGUGGGGGUUGGAAAGUUUCGGCGGUUGGGGAUGGACUCGCGGCUUAUGAGCUUGUUGGGGGGGUAGUGGCUUACCAAGGCUUUGACGGGUAGCCGGCCUGAGAGGGUGACCGGCCACAUUGGGCCUGCGAUACGGCCCAGACUCCUACGGGAGGCAGCAGUGGGGAAUAUUGCACAAUGGGCGGAAGCCUGAUGCAGCAACGCCGCGUGCGGGAUGACGGCCUUCGGGUUGUAAACCGCUUUCGCCUGUGACGAAGCGUGAGUGACGGUAAUGGGUAAAGAAGCACCGGCUAACUACGUG
This 468-nucleotide ribosomal RNA is filed under the name uncultured bacterium. RNAcentral's name for it is "partial 16S ribosomal RNA". It matches the Rfam family "Bacterial small subunit ribosomal RNA", at positions 28 to 507 of the family's 1533-position model. The record is from RNAcentral.